Molecule: small RNA, 76 nt
Filed under: Aquimarina brevivitae
Lineage: Bacteria; Pseudomonadati; Bacteroidota; Flavobacteriia; Flavobacteriales; Flavobacteriaceae
Description: Flavo-1 RNA
Rfam family: Flavo-1 RNA
Source: Rfam by way of RNAcentral
UUUUAGCCCCGAUUGCAGCGGCAUCCUUUUUAGGGUGCAAAACCCUAAAAAGAUAUAGCGUAAAGCGGGAAACAGC